AUGUCGGCGGCGAUGUCCGCCUUCGGCCAGCUCCUUGCUUCGAGACGAGGCGUCCUCUGCAUCGUAGUCAUCUUGAGUUGCUGGCUCCUCCUUCGGGAUCGAUUUGACCUCCAGCUUGCUCUGCCACGGAAGAUCUUCAGUCCCUGGCAUAUGUGUUUUUCAUGUUGUGCUCCUACUGCCGUACGGCGGCAGCAUGUCGGCGGCGACGUACAGCUCUAUGCUCUCCGCCUUCGGCCAGCUCCUUGCUUCCGGACGAGGCGUCCUCUGCAUCGUACUCAUCUUGGUUGCUGGCUCCUAGCUCAUUCGGGAUCGAUUUGA
RNAcentral lists this ribosomal RNA (318 nucleotides) under Triticum aestivum (bread wheat). RNAcentral's name for it is "partial small subunit ribosomal RNA". The record is from RNAcentral. Lineage: Eukaryota; Viridiplantae; Streptophyta; Magnoliopsida; Poales; Poaceae.